RNAcentral lists this ribosomal RNA (449 nucleotides) under uncultured bacterium. RNAcentral's name for it is "bacterial SSU rRNA". It matches the Rfam family "Bacterial small subunit ribosomal RNA", at positions 329 to 795 of the family's 1533-position model. The record is from RNAcentral.
UGCCAGACUCCUACGGGAGGCAGCAGUGGGGAAUAUUGCACAAUGGGGGAAACCCUGAUGCAGCGACGCCGCGUGAGCGAUGAAGUAUUUCGGUAUGUAAAGCUCUAUCAGCAGGGAAGAAGAUGACGGUACCUGACUAAGAAGCCCCGGCUAACUACGUGCCAGCAGCCGCGGUAAUACGUAGGGGGCAAGCGUUAUCCGGAUUUACUGGGUGUAAAGGGAGCGUAGACGGCGAUGCAAGCCAGAUGUGAAAGCCCGGGGCGCAACCCCGGGACUGCAUUUGGAACUGUGUGGCUGGAGUGUCGGAGAGGCAGGCGGAAUUCCUAGUGUAGCGGUGAAAUGCGUAGAUAUUAGGAGGAACACCAGUGGCGAAGGCGGCCUGCUGGACGAUGACUGACGUUGAGGCCCGAAAGCGUGGGGAGCAAACAGGAUUAGAUACCCCUGUAACC